Molecule: small RNA, 252 nt
Filed under: Salvator merianae (Argentine black and white tegu)
Lineage: Eukaryota; Metazoa; Chordata; Lepidosauria; Squamata; Teiidae
Description: 7SK RNA (ENSSMRG00000022644.1)
Rfam family: 7SK RNA
About the family: 7SK was discovered as an abundant small nuclear RNA in the mid-70s but a possible function has only recently been suggested. Two independent studies have found that 7SK RNA binds the CDK9/cyclin T complex (known as elongation factor P-TEFb). P-TEFb activates transcription by phosphorylating the C-terminal domain of RNA polymerase II.
Source: RNAcentral
GGAUGUGAGGGUGAUCUGGCUGAGACAUCUGUUACCCCNUUGAUCACCAGAGUUGAUUUGACUGAUCUGGCUGACUUGGUGGGGUUCUGCUUUCCCUCUGUCCUUCUGUGUGUCUGUUCCAAAGCUCCAUGCACAGUGGAAGAGGACAACCAUCCCAGACAGAAAGAGUGUACCAUUCUUUGCUCCAAGGUAUACGAUAACUACUACUUCUAUCAUAUCUCCUUUCAUUCAUCUCUUUUGUAGACUAAAAAG